GAUGAACGCUGGCGGCGUGCCUAAUACAUGCAAGUCGAGCGAACAGACGAGGAGCUUGCUCCUCUGACGUUUGCGGCGGACGGGUGAGUAACACGUGGAUAACCUACCUAUAAGACUGGGAUAACUUCGGGAAACCGGAGCUAAUACCGGAUAAUAUAUUGAACCGCAUGGUUCAAUAGUGAAAGACGGUUUUGCUGUCACUUAUAGAUGGAUCCGCGCCGCAUUAGCUAUUUGGUAAGGUAACGGCUUACCAAGGCAACGAUGCGUAGCCGACCUGAGAGGGUGAUCGGCCACACUGGAACGGAGACACGGUCCAGACUCCUACGGGAGGCAGCAGUAGAGAAGCUUCCGCAAUGGGCGAAAGCCUGACGGAGCAACGCCGCGUGGGUGAUGAAGGUCUUCGGAUCGUAAAACUCUGUUAUUAGGGAAGAACAAAUGUGUAAGUAACUAUGCACGUCUUGACGGUACCUAAUCAGAAAGCCACGGCUAACUACGUG
Molecule: ribosomal RNA, 497 nt
Filed under: uncultured bacterium
Lineage: Bacteria
Description: partial 16S ribosomal RNA
Rfam family: Bacterial small subunit ribosomal RNA
Source: RNAcentral